Molecule: ribosomal RNA, 487 nt
Filed under: Escherichia coli
Lineage: Bacteria; Pseudomonadati; Pseudomonadota; Gammaproteobacteria; Enterobacterales; Enterobacteriaceae
Description: partial 23S ribosomal RNA
Rfam family: Bacterial large subunit ribosomal RNA
Source: RNAcentral
CGAAUGCUGACAUAAGUAACGAUAAAGCGGGUGAAAAGCCCGCUCGCCGGAAGACCAAGGGUUCCUGUCCAACGUUAAUCGGGGCAGGGUGAGUCGACCCCUAAGGCGAGGCCGAAAGGCGUAGUCGAUGGGAAACAGGUUAAUAUUCCUGUACUUGGUGUUACUGCGAAGGGGGGACGGAGAAGGCUAUGUUGGCCGGGCGACGGUUGUCCCGGUUUAAGCGUGUAGGCUGGUUUUCCAGGCAAAUCCGGAAAAUCAAGGCUGAGGCGUGAUGACGAGGCACUACGGUGCUGAAGCAACAAAUGCCCUGCUUCCAGGAAAAGCCUCUAAGCAUCAGGUAACAUCAAAUCGUACCCCAAACCGACACAGGUGGUCAGGUAGAGAAUACCAAGGCGCUUGAGAGAACUCGGGUGAAGGAACUAGGCAAAAUGGUGCCGUAACUUCGGGAGAAGGCACGCUGAUAUGUAGGUGAGGUCCCUCGCGGAUG